RNAcentral lists this ribosomal RNA (305 nucleotides) under uncultured bacterium. RNAcentral's name for it is "bacterial SSU rRNA". It matches the Rfam family "Bacterial small subunit ribosomal RNA", at positions 335 to 637 of the family's 1533-position model. The record is from RNAcentral.
UCCCUACGGGGGGCAGCAGUGAGGAAUAUUGGUCAAUGGGCGGGAGCCUGAACCAGCCAAGUCGCGUGAGGGAAGACGGUCCUAUGGAUUGUAAACCUCUUUAGGCGGGGAGCAAUGCCGGGCACGCGUGUCCGGAGGGAGAGUACCCGCAGAAUAAGCAUCGGCUAACUCCGUGCCAGCAGCCGCGGUAAUACGGAGGAUGCGAGCGUUAUCCGGAUUUAUUGGGUUUAAAGGGUGCGUAGGCGGCGCUUCAGGUCAGCGGUGAAAUACCGGGGCUCAACCCCGGGGCUGCCGUUGAAACCGGG